GAUGAACGCUGGCGGCGUGCUUAACACAUGCAAGUCGAACGAUGAAGCCCAGCUUGCUGGGUGGGUUAGUGGCGAACGGGUGAGUAACACGUGAGUAACCUGCCCUUAACUCUGGGAUAAGCCUGGGAAACUGGGUCUAAUACCGGAUAGGAGCGUCCACCGCAUGGUGGGUGUUGGAGAGAUUUAUCGGUUUUGGAUGGACUCGCGGCCUAUCAGCUUGUUGGUGAGGUAAUGGCUCACCAAGGCGACGACGGGUAGCCGGCCUGAGAGGGUGACCGGCCACACUGGGACUGAGACACGGCCCAGACUCCUACGGGAGGCAGCAGUGGGGAAUAUUGCACAAUGGGCGCAAGCCUGAUGCAGCGACGCCGCGUGAGGGAUGACGGCCUUCGGGUUGUAAACCUCUUUCAGUAGGGAAGAAGCGAAAGUGACGGUACCUGCAGAAGAAGCACCGGCUAACUACGUG
RNAcentral lists this ribosomal RNA (466 nucleotides) under uncultured bacterium. RNAcentral describes it as "partial 16S ribosomal RNA". It matches the Rfam family "Bacterial small subunit ribosomal RNA", at positions 28 to 507 of the family's 1533-position model. The record is from RNAcentral.